GGGCACAGGCCCGCACUCCAAGUUAUCAACAAUGCAACGUUUAUGUGAGAUCGGAUAAGAAAACCAGGUAUGUGGUGGGGGCUUGGCGAGCCGUCGACUUCGUCUAACGUGAACGUUUGCAGUGAGGCUGGCUCCUUCUGGAGGAAAUUAUUCUGCUGCAAAUCUGGGAUGGGGAAUGAAAAAGACCCACCGGGGGGGGGGGGGUAUUAAGAGAUGAUUGUUGUAUUGAUGCAGGUGUAAAAGGUUGUCUCAAGAGAGAUAUUAUAAGGAUUAUCUCAAGAGAUAUAUUAUAUUCCACAGUGUGAAUUCGCAUAUUGCUUCG
This 322-nucleotide long non-coding RNA is filed under the name Elaeis guineensis (African oil palm). RNAcentral's name for it is "long non-coding RNA (EGUI_LNC031428)". Lineage: Eukaryota; Viridiplantae; Streptophyta; Magnoliopsida; Arecales; Arecaceae. The record is from RNAcentral.